RNAcentral lists this long non-coding RNA (1397 nucleotides) under Bos indicus x Bos taurus (hybrid cattle). RNAcentral describes it as "lncRNA (ENSBIXG00000016261.1)". The record is from RNAcentral. Lineage: Eukaryota; Metazoa; Chordata; Mammalia; Artiodactyla; Bovidae.
AAAAGAGAAAUCCCGCAUCUGCCGCGGCUUUGUGGUUCUCGGGCGGAAGCGCCGUCUCGAAUCUGCAUGCCCCGCCCUCUGUCGCCGAGAAGGCGUGGCUCCGGCGGGACCGCAGCGCCCUGGGGACGGCCUCGGGGCGGCGGCAGGGGAGCUCCUCCUUGGUGCUCAGAUCAGUCGCUCAGUCGCGUCCGACUCUUUGCGACCCCAUGAAUCGCAGCACGCCAGGCCUCCCUGUCCAAUACCAACUCCCGGAGUUCACUCAGACUCACGUCCAUCGAGUCAGGGAUGCCAUCCAGCCAUCUCAUCCUCUGCCGUCCCCUUCUCCUCCUCCUUGGGGCUGGUGGAGAGGAGAGACCCGACCGGAGGGGGUGCGGGGUGGCCGGCGAGAGGAGAGACCCGACCGGUGCGGGUGCGGGGUGGCCGGCGAGAGGGACCCGUGCGACGAGCUGUCGCAAGACAAGGUCGCAAGACUGAUUCGCCAGAAACGUCCGGACUGCAGUGUGUUACUCAGGCUUCCUCCUGCGGAGAGAGGGGCUCCGUAGGGUCGGGUGUGUGGAGGGGGCUUCCCUGCCAGGCGGAAGGCGGAUGGCCCACAGUGGGGAAGGGAGGAGGCGUGUGGAUGCGGAGGGCGGGGCCGGGCCGCGGGAGGGGUUCACUCCAACUCCAGCGCCUUUGUCCUUCGGUGCUUCUACAACCAAACCGAUCCCGGGCCUCCUACCGAAAGCUCCCUCCGCCUAGACCCUCGUUUCCCUGCCCCUCAUCAGCUGUGGGCUUCGCUGGUGGCUCAGAUUGUCAAGAAUCCGCCUGCAAGACAGGAAUCACGGGCUCGAUUCCUGAGUCGGAAAAAUCCCCUAGAGGAGGAAAUUGAAACCCACGACUGUGUUCUUGCCUAGGAAAUCCCAUGGACGCAGGAGCCUGGCGGGUCACAAGGACCGAAACAGCUGGACACACAGACUAAACAACAGGAAACAUUCUAUUGAUCUGAGCCGUCACAGCCACUAACCACAUGCAGCCAGGGAACUCUGGGCUGGUGGUUUCUCCCAAUUCAGAGGUACUGAAAGUGGAAAAAACACAUGGGGAUUUAAAACUUAAUAUUAAAAAUUGUAAAAAAAAAUCUCUGUAAUGAUGAUAUUAAUUACAUAUUGAAAUGAUAUUUUAGAUAUUGUGUUUUAUUCGUGGGGGGUUUGCAAGGGUUUGCCAGAACCGGAAGAGGGAUGGAACCCCUGCCCUUGUCAUUGGGAAGCAUGGAGUUCUAACCACUGGACCACCAGAAUUUGAGAAAUCUUGAGUAAAGAACGUAUUAAACUUAAUUUCACUCACUCCUCUUUAUUUUUUAUAUGCCUUAAGAAUAUUUCAAUUUACCUGGGCAAGGGAAUUCCUUGGUGCUCCAGUGGUUA